Molecule: transfer RNA, 64 nt
Filed under: uncultured eukaryote
Lineage: Eukaryota
Rfam family: tRNA
About the family: Transfer RNA (tRNA) molecules are approximately 80 nucleotides in length.
Source: RNAcentral
UUAUAGCUUAGUCAGGAUAAAGCGUUAGAUUGCGAAUCUGAAGUUUAAAAGUUCAAAUCUUUUA